GACGAACGCUGGCGGCGUGCUUAACACAUGCAAGUCGAACGGAAAGGCCCUGCUUUUGUGGGGUGCUCGAGUGGCGAACGGGUGAGUAACACGAGAGUAACCUGCCCUUGACUUUGGGAUAACUUCAGGAAACUGGGGCUAAUACCGGAUAGGAGCUCCUGCUGCAUGGUGGGGGUUGGAAAGUUUCGGCGGAUGGGGAUGGACUCGCGGCUUAUCAGCUUGUUGGUGGGGUAGUGGCUUACCAAGGCUUUGACGGGUAGCCGGCCUGAGAGGGUGACCGGCCACAUUGGGACUGAGAUACGGCCCAGACUCCUACGGGAGGCAGCAGUGGGGAAUAUUGCACAAUGGGCGGAAGCCUGAUGCAGCAACGCCGCGUGCGGGAUGACGGCCUUCGGGUUGUAAACCGCUUUCGCCUGUGACGAAGCGUGAGUGACGGUAAUGGGUAAAGAAGCACCGGCUAACUACGUG
RNAcentral lists this ribosomal RNA (468 nucleotides) under uncultured bacterium. RNAcentral's name for it is "partial 16S ribosomal RNA". It matches the Rfam family "Bacterial small subunit ribosomal RNA", at positions 28 to 507 of the family's 1533-position model. The record is from RNAcentral.